GUUAAAAUGAUGAUAAACUGUCACUGAACAUUGCGACUCGAUCUAUUUUGGAGAGAGAUGCGAUUCACUAGGAUGUUCGCUGUUGCGAGGCAUUUGCCUGAUUUUAAA
Molecule: non-coding RNA, 108 nt
Organism: Drosophila mojavensis
Lineage: Eukaryota; Metazoa; Arthropoda; Insecta; Diptera; Drosophilidae
Source: Rfam